ACCAAUGUAUAAGUAUCUCUCUCUCUCUCUCUCUCUCUCUCUCUAUUUUACAUGGUGAAUUUACUGAGCUGAUUCACUCUGGCAUGGGUGGGUAAAAUGAUGAUGAGUAUGCUUCUUUGUUCCACCACAUAGAUCUGAAUCUGGCGUGCAACUCUUUUGCUCGCAGGAGAGGGUUCGGGGUCUGACUGCCCCCUGCUUUGGAGGGACAUCCUGCCGUCCCCGUCGGAGACAAGCCAUCAUUUCAAUACCUCCACAGCUGCUCCUCUUUGCCACCACUGCCACCAAUUUUUAUUGCGUCGGGGAAGGCAGGCAAAGCGGCUCGAUCAGAUGCCAAACGCCUUUGCUCUUCCUUUGCGUAACAGUCCAUGCACCACCCCCUGACAGCCAUCUCAUCUGCUGCCUGAUGCACGCUGUUGGGAGGAGCUUUUGCCGUGUGUUCUUCCGCUAGUUUAACCGUUGCUGUGCUUCUUGCGAAAAGGAAUCUAAGCCAUCGUUAAGCGAGGGGCAGCUUGUUGCGGUUUUCUUGCUUGCUCUCGGCCACAAGAAGCAGGUGAUGGGUUGCAAGAUAGAUCAGGUACUGAGUUGUAGUAGAUUCCUGUGUUGCUGUCAUCGAUGGCAUCUGCCUUGUGAGGCCAUUACGUGGUCCUACUUGUGCCUCUCGUCCUUUGAUUAUUUUAACUUCGUGGUCA
Musa acuminata AAA Group (dessert banana) is the source of this 689-nucleotide long non-coding RNA. RefSeq lists it as uncharacterized. Lineage: Eukaryota; Viridiplantae; Streptophyta; Magnoliopsida; Zingiberales; Musaceae. The record is from RefSeq and is a predicted model, not a curated record. The transcript is spliced from 2 exons.